This 440-nucleotide ribosomal RNA is filed under the name uncultured bacterium. RNAcentral's name for it is "partial 16S ribosomal RNA". It matches the Rfam family "Bacterial small subunit ribosomal RNA", at positions 338 to 795 of the family's 1533-position model. The record is from RNAcentral.
ACUACGGGAGGCUGCAGUGGGGGAUAUUGCACAAUGGGGGGAACCCUGAUGCAGCGACGCCGCGUGGGUGAAGAAGCGCCUCGGCGCGUAAAGCCCUGUCAGCAGGGAAGAAAAUGACGGUACCUGAAUAAGAAGCCCCGGCUAACUACGUGCCAGCAGCCGCGGUAAUACGUAGGGGGCAAGCGUUAUCCGGAUUUACUGGGGGUAAAGGGGGCGCAGACGGCGAUGCAAGCCAGGAGUGAAAGCCCGGGGCCGAACCCCGGGACUGCUCUUGAAACUGCGUGGCUGGAGUGCAGGAGAGGCAGGCGGAAUUGCUGGUGUAGCGGUGAAAUGCGUAGAUAUCAGGAGGAACACCGGUGGCGAAGGCGGCCUGCUGGACUGCAACUGACGUUGAGGCCCGAAAGCGUGGGGAGCAAACAGGAUUAGAUACCCGUGUAGUC